This 254-nucleotide ribosomal RNA is filed under the name uncultured bacterium. Its description in RNAcentral is "partial 16S ribosomal RNA". It matches the Rfam family "Bacterial small subunit ribosomal RNA", at positions 524 to 776 of the family's 1533-position model. The record is from RNAcentral.
GACAUAGGUGGCAAACGUUAUCCGGAAUUAUUGGGCGUAAAGGGUGCGUAGGUGGUUCAAUAAGUUACUGGUGGCAAAUCGGGGCCCAACCCCGUGGAAGUCAGUAAUACUAUUAAACUAGAGGAUCGGAGAGGUUAAUGGAAUUCUAUGCGUAGCGGUAAAAUGCUCAAAUAUAUAGAGGAACACCAAACGGCGAAGGCAGUUAACUAUUCGGUUCCUGACAUUGAGGCACGAAAGCGUGGGGAGCAAGACGG